AGUGAACGCUGGCGGUAGGCCUAACACAUGCAAGUCGAACGGCAGCACAGGAGAGCUUGCUCUCUGGGUGGCGAGUGGCGGACGGGUGAGGAAUACAUCGGAAUCUACUUUUUCGUGGGGGAUAACGUAGGGAAACUUACGCUAAUACCGCAUACGACCUACGGGUGAAAGCAGGGGACCUUCGGGCCUUGCGCGAUUGAAUGAGCCGAUGUCGGAUUAGCUAGUUGGCGGGGUAAAGGCCCACCAAGGCGACGAUCCGUAGCUGGUCUGGGAGGAUGAUCAGCCACGCUGGAACUGAGACACGGUCCAGACUCCUACGGGAGGCAGCAGUGGGGAAUAUUGGACAAUGGGCGCAAGCCUGAUCCAGCCAUACCGCGUGGGUGAAGAAGGCCUUCGGGUUGUAAAGCCCUUUUGUUGGGAAAGAAAUCCAGCUGGCUAAUACCCGGUUGGGAUGACGGUACCCAAAGAAUAAGCACCGGCUAACUUCGUGCCAGCAGCCGCCGUAA
RNAcentral lists this ribosomal RNA (506 nucleotides) under uncultured bacterium. RNAcentral describes it as "partial 16S ribosomal RNA". It matches the Rfam family "Bacterial small subunit ribosomal RNA", at positions 29 to 523 of the family's 1533-position model. The record is from RNAcentral.